This is a long non-coding RNA of Zingiber officinale, 354 nucleotides long. RefSeq lists it as uncharacterized. Lineage: Eukaryota; Viridiplantae; Streptophyta; Magnoliopsida; Zingiberales; Zingiberaceae. The record is from RefSeq and is a predicted model, not a curated record. The transcript has 3 exons.
GGAUAAUCUCUGUAAGGACAUUUUUCUUCGUGGCAAGAUGGAUGAUCAAGGUUGGGUUCCUGUCUCAUUGAUUGCUACCUUUAACAUGGUCAAAAGGGUGACCACGAGCAUAGCGAUGAUAUUGAAUGCUCUAAGAGAUUCGACAGAACUUGAAAUACAGAGAAAAUUAGAAGACGAGAGGAUUGGAUGAGAUGGUUACUGCCCUCGAUGGAAAAUCCAAAUGGUCAUGGUUCCACACCUCACUUGACAUUGAACCAUGAUGAUUCAGUCAUCCACCCCAUGCAGACUCUCGGAUUAGAGGAAUAUUCUAGCCAGGCCACCAUGAGUUGUACUCAAACUGAGGUAGCACUUGAU